CAGUCGCCGCGGGAAUACGUAGGUGGCAAGCGUUGUCCGGAAUUAUUGGGCGUAAAGCGCGCGCAGGCGGAUAGGUCAGUCUGUCUUAAAAGUUCGGGGCUUAACCCCGUGAUGGGAUGGAAACUGCCAAUCUAGAGUAUCGGAGAGGAAAGUGGAAUUCCUAGUGUAGCGGUGAAAUGCGUAGAUAUUAGGAAGAACACCAGUGGCGAAGGCGACUUUCUGGACGAAAACUGACGCUGAGGCGCGAAAGCCAGGGGAGCGAACGGGAUUAGAGACCCCAGUAGUCCCUGUCUCUUAUACA
Molecule: ribosomal RNA, 301 nt
Filed under: uncultured bacterium
Lineage: Bacteria
Description: partial 16S ribosomal RNA
Rfam family: Bacterial small subunit ribosomal RNA
Source: RNAcentral